AGAGUUUGAUCCUGGCUCAGAUUGAACGCUGGCGGCAGGCCUAACACAUGCAAGUCGAGCGGCAGCGGGAAAGUAGCUUGCUACUUUUGCCGGCGAGCGGCGGACGGGUGAGUAAUGCCUGGGAAAUUGCCCAGUCGAGGGGGAUAACAGUUGGAAACGACUGCUAAUACCGCAUACGCCCUACGGGGGAAAGCAGGGGACCUUCGGGCCUUGCGCGAUUGGAUAUGCCCAGGUGGGAUUAGCUUGUUGGUGAGGUAAUGGCUCACCAAGGCGACGAUCCCUAGCUGGUCUGAGAGGAUGAUCAGCCACACUGGAACUGAGACACGGUCCAGACUCCUACGGGAGGCAGCAGUGGGGAAUAUUACACAAUGGGGGAAACCCUGAUGCAGCCAUGCCGCGUGUGUGAAGAAGGCCUUCGGGUUGUAAAGCACUUUCAGCGAGGAGGAAAGGUUGAUACCUAAUACGUAUCAGCUGUGACGUUACUCGCAGAAGAAGCACCG
This 500-nucleotide ribosomal RNA is filed under the name uncultured bacterium. RNAcentral describes it as "bacterial SSU rRNA". It matches the Rfam family "Bacterial small subunit ribosomal RNA", at positions 8 to 495 of the family's 1533-position model. The record is from RNAcentral.